This 261-nucleotide ribosomal RNA is filed under the name uncultured archaeon. RNAcentral describes it as "partial 16S ribosomal RNA". It matches the Rfam family "Archaeal small subunit ribosomal RNA", at positions 718 to 982 of the family's 1478-position model. The record is from RNAcentral.
CACACAUUAGAUACCCCUGUAGUCCAGGGUGUAAACGCUGCAGACUUGGUGUUGGGAACCCUUCGGGGGUGCUCAGUGCCGGAGAGAAGUUGUUAAGUCUGCUACUUGGGGAGUACGUCCGCAAGGAUGAAACUUAAAGGAAUUGGCGGGGGAGCACCGCAACGGGAGGAGCGUGCGGUUUAAUUGGAUUCAACGCCGAAAAACUCACCAGCAGCGACUGUUACAUGAAAGUCAGGUUGAUGACCUUACUAGAUUUUUCAG